CUUGGUGAGUAUAGCUAUGGGGGUACACCUAGACACAUUCCGAACCUAGAAGUUAAGCCCAUAUACGCAGAAAGUACUUG
RNAcentral lists this ribosomal RNA (80 nucleotides) under Fusobacterium necrophorum. Lineage: Bacteria; Fusobacteriati; Fusobacteriota; Fusobacteriia; Fusobacteriales; Fusobacteriaceae. The record is from RNAcentral.